GUACUUCCGAUGAAUCCCAAACUAGGAUGAAACAGCUGUCCAGUAC
Molecule: non-coding RNA, 46 nt
Organism: Trichobilharzia regenti
Lineage: Eukaryota; Metazoa; Platyhelminthes; Trematoda; Strigeidida; Schistosomatidae
Source: Rfam